ACGGAAGGCAGCAGUGGGGAAUAUUGCACAAUGGGGGAAACCCUGAUGCAGCGACGCCGCGUGAGUGAAGAAGUAUUUCGGUAUGUAAAGCUCUAUCAGCAGGGAAGAUAAUGACGGUACCUGACUAAGAAGCCCCGGCUAACUACGUGCCAGCAGCCGCGGUAAUACGUAGGGGGCAAGCGUUAUCCGGAUUUACUGGGUGUAAGGGGAGUGUAGGUGGUUUGGCAAGCCAGAUGUGAAAGCCCGGGGCUCAACCCCGCGGACUGCAUUUGGAACUGUUAAACUUGAGUGCAGGAGAGGAAAGUGGAAUUCCUAGUGUAGCGGUGAAAUGCGUAGAUAUUAGGAGGAACACCAGUGGCGAAGGCGGCUUUCUGGACUGUAACUGACACUGAGGCUCGAAAGCGUGGGGAGCAAACAGGAUUAGAUACCCUGGUA
Molecule: ribosomal RNA, 435 nt
Filed under: uncultured bacterium
Lineage: Bacteria
Description: partial 16S ribosomal RNA
Rfam family: Bacterial small subunit ribosomal RNA
Source: RNAcentral